This is a non-coding RNA of Schistosoma margrebowiei, 46 nucleotides long. NCBI's taxonomy places the organism in Eukaryota, Metazoa, Platyhelminthes, Trematoda, Strigeidida, Schistosomatidae. The record is from Rfam.
AUCACGGUCCUAUUAAGGACCACCACAUUGUGAUUUGUCUUUGUGU